RNAcentral lists this long non-coding RNA (2359 nucleotides) under Homo sapiens (human). RNAcentral describes it as "non-protein coding lnc-DGLUCY-4:1". Lineage: Eukaryota; Metazoa; Chordata; Mammalia; Primates; Hominidae. The record is from RNAcentral.
GCAUGCGCAACUGUGGCGCGCGACUGCGCUAGAACGCGGCUCCCGCGACCCCUGGCGGCGGCUGCCGAGGGGCUGCGGGACGACCUUGGGCGGCAGCUAGCAGCGAGUCCUAGCUGAUGUGGCCCUGAGUCAGCUUUUAGAGGUCCCAAGACUCGUUCACAGGCCGCUAAACGCAAACUAAGGCACCUCCCAGCACACCAGGAUCGACGUGUCCUCCUUCAGUCCGGACUCGGCGGAAUCUGCACCUGGGAGCCCCUCCCCAAAUGACCUGCUAGCCGCAGUCCAGGAAGCAGGCACCCCUCACUCCCCUUCUCAAAUGGGGGCUCUAUUCCUGUCUCUAGCUCUGGAGUUGUUGUGAGGAUAAAGGGAGGUAAGGGACAAGUGCUUAGAACAGUGUCUAGAAGGAAUUAUUUUAAUGCUGUAGUCAUUAUUAAUAAUGUAUUAUAUUUUUACAAUUCCAGAACCUGGCACACAGUAGGCACUCAACAAACCGUUCCUCUGUCUGUCUUGAGAGACUGCGGUGGGCCCUGCAGGGCAGCUGCCUGCCUCUGCCUGGUUCGAGGAAGGCCCAGCCAGGCCGGCCCCAGCUUCCUUCCUGCUCUUCUGUCCCACUCCGACCCACUCCGGAGAGCCACGCUCUGAGCCGCACAUGACUCUCUCCUUCUCCACAGAACAAUCUGUGUUCUGCUCCCGCCCCCGAGAGAGUUCUGAGCUUUCCAAAUAUGGAUGCUUUUUGCAUUCCCAAAGCAUCACGAACAUUUGGGAGAAGAAAAUGAACACCAGACAUGGUUUGGAAACGAUGGAAGCCAAGGGAUGGGUGGUGACGGAACAAGCACCGUACUAGGAGUUUUAAAAUAUAAAACACGAGUCUGGCCUAGGUGAUGUCUUACAACCUUACUAGCUUUGUAGCAGUCUAGGCCCCAAAGAGAUCCUAGAAGUAAGCACCCAAACCCUAAGAAUAAAAACUACAGCGGCCACCACCACACAUUGCAGAGGCGAAAACUGCAUUAAGGAGGCCCAGAGAGUCACCUGCUGUCAGAGGAAAUGAGCAGUGGGAGGCAGUCCCUUGAGAGCCAAACAGCUUGAAAGUUGACAAAUUGAGAUGAACCAGCUCGUCGGUGAGUGUAGGCAGAAGAGGCAUUAGACACAAGAGUAUUUGUUUUUAUAUCAGGCCCAAACCAAAACCUAUUCUGAAAUGGAGUGGAUCUCAGAAUAUACUGAGAAGUUUGCCCUUUUGCUUAGGCACCUUGUGUGUUAUUCAGCUAGAGUUUAUCUUCAAUAGUGUGCCCCUGGAUGCCAGGGCAAAAUGUUAAAGAAUGGCCCCGUCACAGGCACCCCUGUGCAGCAGGCACUGUUGUCCCUGGCGCACAUGCAGGGAGAUAAAGCAGGCAGCUUAGAUAUGACACAGCCUCAACACCCAACCCAGAAUAAGCACUCACAUAUUUGCUGAUUUAAUGAAUUAAUUAAUUAUACAGUCUAGUUUGAGAGAGGCAAAUGGCAGAUGUGAAAUAAUUAAAAUCUGAAUGCCAAAUUAGAUGGUACUAGCUAUAAAUAGAGGUGGAAUCAGAGGAUGGAGAGAUUGGUGUGGACAAACGGGGCUGGAGAGGUCUGUAUGCAACAACGGGUGUCACCAAGGGCGGACUCAGCACAGGGAAGAGAUGACUCCCAGAUGGAUGGAGAAGAUAAACAGAGGUGGGGGGUUGGCCUGGCAGGGGUGAGGGCAGGUGGGCAAGGAGGCAGGCAGCCUGGAGCAGAGGAUGGGUGGGACACAGCAGGACAUGCAGCCAGCCUGCCAAGACUAGGACAUAUCCUCCACAGUCUGCAGAGGUGCAUGCCAUACCUAGACCUGCCAGGGUUAGCAGGAGGACUUGAACUCGAGAUUCAAGCAAUAAGGGAGAGGAUGACUCUUUUUUCGAGAUAAUUAGCUCCUGAUUAUCUCAACAUGAUACAUUUAAACCUCACACUGGCUUGUCCUGACACUCAGGCCACUAUUUACACUCUUCACCACAUUUUAACAUCACCUUAACUGAGAAUGUAAAUCCGGCACAAAUGUCCAAAUGCUCAUGUAUUUCAGGCAUUGUAAACCCCAGGGGAAAGCUCUGUGUCAUCGGCAUCCCUCCACCCCUUCACUAGCCCAGAGCCCUGGGGGGCAUUGUGCUUAUAGGUGGAGCUGUCUUGUUACUUGCUGGGGCCUUGCAGGGCCCAGCCUCUAGCCAUGCCCUCCAAAUGAGCUUCAGCCACUCCUGGGUUUUAACCAAGUCCUGCACCUAUACGCAGACCUAUUCCUGAAUCCUGACCAACAAGCCAAUAGCCUGGAAACCUAUAUGCUGAGCACUAGCCAAGAAUUCCAAUGUUUCCC